This 523-nucleotide ribosomal RNA is filed under the name uncultured bacterium. Its description in RNAcentral is "partial 16S ribosomal RNA". It matches the Rfam family "Bacterial small subunit ribosomal RNA", at positions 29 to 523 of the family's 1533-position model. The record is from RNAcentral.
AACGAACGCUGGCGGCGCGCCUAACACAUGCAAGUCGGACGUGAAAGAGGGGGCAACUCCUUGAGUAAAGUGGCGCACGGGUGAGAAACGCGUAGGUAAUCUGCCUUAGUGACCGGGAUAACCAGCCGAAAGGUUGGCUAAUACUGGAUAGAGCGCAGGGUUCGUAGAGGACCUUGUGGGAAAGGGCGGCCGUAGCAAUACGGCGGUUGUACUGAGAUGAGCCUGCGUCCCAUUAGCUAGUUGGUAGGGUAAAGGCCUACCAAGGCAAUGAUGGGUAGCGGGGAUGAGAGGAUGAUCAGCCACACUGGAACUGAGACACGGUCCAGACUCCUACGGGAGGCAGCAGUGGGGAAUCUUGCGCAAUGGGCGAAAGCCUGACGCAGCGACGCCGCGUGGGUGAAGAAGGCCUUCGGGUUGUAAAGCCCUGUCGAGUGGGAAAAAUGGUAACUGCACUAAUACGGCAGUUAAUUGAUUGUACCACUAGAGGAAGCACCGGCUAACUCCGUGCCAGCAGCCGCGGUAA